This 225-nucleotide ribosomal RNA is filed under the name uncultured bacterium. RNAcentral describes it as "partial 16S ribosomal RNA". It matches the Rfam family "Bacterial small subunit ribosomal RNA", at positions 524 to 744 of the family's 1533-position model. The record is from RNAcentral.
UACGUAGGGUGCAAGCGUUGUCCGGAAUUAUUGGGCGUAAAGAGCUCGUAGGCGGUUUGUUGCGUCGGCUGUGAAAUCCCGAGGCUCAACCUCGGGUCUGCAGUCGAUACGAGCAAACUAGAGUGUUGCAGGGGAGACUGGAAUUCCUGGUGGUAGCGGUGAAAUGCGCAGAUAUCAGGGAGGGAACACCGGUGGGCGAAGGCGGGUCUCUGGGCAACAACUGAC